Molecule: long non-coding RNA, 1680 nt
Filed under: Hordeum vulgare
Lineage: Eukaryota; Viridiplantae; Streptophyta; Magnoliopsida; Poales; Poaceae
Description: long non-coding RNA (HVUL_LNC015068)
Source: RNAcentral
GUGAAUAGCAGUUAUUCGGAAAACUAACAUACAUUUCUCUAGAAGUAGAAAUACUGAUUUGUAGCAUUACCAAGUCAACCAUCUCAAGUGCUGUAAAUAUAAAUAGAUCAGUAUAUGUACAUAUCUAUAAACUUUGGCCAACAAUAUAAUACAGAGCCUUGAUGUUUUACUGCUAGGCUCUCCUAUUCCAAUAAUCGAAUCCUUGUGUAAAGUACUGCAAGACAAAAGGGAUUAAUUGCACUAAGCAUUCUUAAAUAUCUAUGCCCAAUUAUCUACUAUUCUAUUCAAAAAGAGAUGAACACACAAGUUUUUCAUUUAAAAACUGUAAGAACAUGUGUGAUGUUCUCACCAACAAUUUUCUCAGGUGUUAUGAUAUUUCUGUAGGAAGUCAACAAUAAGCUUCUUGUUCUCCGACUACUCAUUUUUCAGGGCCAUCUUCUUGUCCUUUCUUUGUAGAUUCCCCUUCUCCCUUAUCCUUUCCCCUUGUUAUGAUCCUCUAGUAGUAUUCCUGCCAUCAAUGUGCAACACUGAUGAAUUGUAUGCUAGUAAACAUGUAAGUGCAAUGCAUGUCCUUACCAAUAUACACUUUUUAAUUACGCAUGUCAUAAUGCAGUAAUAGAACUUAUAUACCAUUUCAACCACAUCAACUAUCAUCAAAUUAUAGAAUAUUUAUCUUGAAAAAUUGACGGGAAGUUACCUAUUAAUAAUUCAAUACAUUCCUAAUGUAUUUUAGGAAAACCAAUUCAUCAGUGUUCAUGUCCGCUUGCUCAAGAACCUUUUCUUUUGAUGACACGGAAGAUGAUCUUAUAUGACAAAGGAUGACAAAGUGUACUCAUUCACAAAUUGUAGUAAGACAAGUAUAUGCAGCAUUUUAUUAUUUUCAACACCUGGUAAACAGAAAUCUUCGACAUCCAACUCACGUUAUGCAUUUGAUACAUCACUAAGCACAUCCUUCUCUGAAGUAAGUAAUAAUAUAAUUGCUUUAUUCUUUUGAUUGAAUUAAGGAGUACAAAAGUUUUGUAACCAUUUUUUCUCGACGGAUACUUGCUUGGCUUCCCUCACACUACUACUUCCAAUAUUGUGUAUAAGCUCAGAUGGACUUUCAUAUUAAUUUUUUAUUUUAGAAGAAUAUUCAUGUGUACAACGGUAGAGAUCAUAUUCGUAGUUAACAACUGAACAUUAAAUCUUUCGGAGAUAGCAUUUAUGUAGCUUGGUAGACAAUCAAAGAGGUAUUGCGUUAGCAUGCGCAUGUGAGAAAUUCAUUUGCUCGAGCAGAACAAUUGUGAUGCCUUAAAAGCCACGGAUCAUUCUACUCUCUCCGUUUCUAAAUAUUUAUCUUUUUAGAGAUUUCACUAUGAAUUGCAUACGGAUGUAUAUAGACAUAAUUUAGAAUGUAAACUCAUUCAUUUUGUUUUGUAUCUAGUUCAUAGUUGAAUCUCUAAAAAGACAAAUAUUUAGGAAUGGAGCGAGUAUGCAGCAUGAAAACAAGUUAAAUCAAUAUGAGACAAUCAGGCAGUUAAGGAAUGCGACCUGUAUUUGUAGAAGAACUGUCCUUUUAAUGUACUGGUCGCUAGAAUGAUAUAUCUGCAAACAUGAAAAUUGCCAAGCACUCGUAUAAGUAUGAUGAUACCGACUUGGUUAUCCCAUGAACCAAAACAUUUCCAGAAUGUUAUAACAAAG